Molecule: ribosomal RNA, 500 nt
Filed under: uncultured bacterium
Lineage: Bacteria
Description: partial 16S ribosomal RNA
Rfam family: Bacterial small subunit ribosomal RNA
Source: RNAcentral
AUUGAACGCUGGCGGCAUGCCUUACACAUGCAAGUCGAACGGCAGCACGGGAUCAAUCCUGGUGGCGAGUGGCGAACGGGUGAGUAAAGUAUCGGAACGUGCCCAGUCGUGGGGGAUAACGUAGCGAAAGUUACGCUAAUACCGCAUACGAUCUAUGGAUGAAAGCGGGGGAUCGCAAGACCUCGCGCGAUUGGAGCGGCCGAUAUCAGAUUAGGUAGUUGGUGGGGUAAAGGCUCACCAAGCCGACGAUCUGUAGCUGGUCUGAGAGGACGACCAGCCACACUGGGACUGAGACACGGCCCAGACUCCUACGGGAGGCAGCAGUGGGGAAUUUUGGACAAUGGGCGAAAGCCUGAUCCAGCCAUGCCGCGUGCAGGAUGGAGGCCUUCGGGUUGUAAACUGCUUUUGUACGGAACGAAAAGGUUUGGCCUAAUAAGCUGGGCUCAUGACGGUACCGUAAGAAUAAGCACCGGCUAACUACGUGCCAGCCGCCGCAGUAA